RNAcentral lists this ribosomal RNA (253 nucleotides) under uncultured bacterium. Its description in RNAcentral is "partial 16S ribosomal RNA". It matches the Rfam family "Bacterial small subunit ribosomal RNA", at positions 524 to 776 of the family's 1533-position model. The record is from RNAcentral.
UACGUAGGGGGCUAGCGUUGUCCGGAUUUAUUGGGCGUAAAGAGCGUGUAGGCGGCCAGGUAGGUCUGCUGUGAAAACUCGAGGCUCAACCUCGAGACGUCGGCGGAAACCAUCUGGCUAGAGUCCGGAAGAGGAGAGUGGAAUUCCUGGUGUAGCGGUGAAAUGCGCAGAUAUCAGGAAGAACACCCGUGGCGAAGGCGGCUCUCUGGGACGGUACUGACGCUGAGACGCGAAAGCGUGGGGAGCUAACAGG